UGCCAGCCGCCGCGGUAAUACGAGAGUGGCAAGCGUUAUCCGGAAUUAUUGGGUUUAAAGGGUGCGUAGGCGGAAAUUUAAGUCAGUGGUGAAAGCCUGCAGCUCAACUGUAGAAUUGCCAUUGAUACUGAAUUUCUUGAAUCUAAUUGAAGUAGGCGGAAUAUGACAUGUAGCGGUGAAAUGCUUAGAUAUGUCAUAGAACACCGAUAGCGAAGGCAGCUUACUAAGUUAGUAUUGACGCUAAUGCACGAAAGCGUGGGGAGCGAACAGGAUUAGAUA
This 279-nucleotide ribosomal RNA is filed under the name uncultured bacterium. Its description in RNAcentral is "partial 16S ribosomal RNA". It matches the Rfam family "Bacterial small subunit ribosomal RNA", at positions 506 to 784 of the family's 1533-position model. The record is from RNAcentral.